GACGAACGCUGGCGGCGUGCUUAACACAUGCAAGUCGAACGAAGUGGAGAACGGGUGAGUAAGGCGUAAUCAACCUGCCCUUCAGAGGGGGACAACAGUUGGAAACGACUGCUAAUAACGCAUACUGAAGACGGGGAUUGCUGCUGAUUAGCUAGUUGGAGGGGUAACGGCGCACCAAGGCGAUGAUCAGUAGCCGGUAUUAGAGGAUGACCGGCCAAAUUGGGACGGAGACACGGCCCAGACUCCGACGGGAGGCAGCAGGGGGGAAUCGUGCGAAAUGGACGAAAGUCUGACGGAGCAACGCCGCGUGAGUGAAGAAGGUUUUCGGAUCGUAAAACUCUGUUGUUAGAGAAGCGGUAUCUAACCAGAAAGCCACGGCUAACUACGUGCCAGCAGCCGCGGUAAUAC
RNAcentral lists this ribosomal RNA (408 nucleotides) under uncultured bacterium. RNAcentral describes it as "partial 16S ribosomal RNA". It matches the Rfam family "Bacterial small subunit ribosomal RNA", at positions 28 to 526 of the family's 1533-position model. The record is from RNAcentral.